GACGAACGCUGGCGGCGUGCUUAACACAUGCAAGUCGAACGGAAAGGCCCUGCUUUUGUGGGGUGCUCGAGUGGCGAACGGGUGAGUAACACGUGAGUAACCUGUCCUUGACUUUGGGAUAACUUCAGGAAACUGGGGCUAAUACCGGAUAGGAGCUCCUGCUGCAUGGUGGGGGUUGGAAAGUUUCGGCGGUUGGGGAUGGACUCGCGGCUUAUCAGCUUGUUGGUUGGGUAGUGGCUUACCAAGGCUUUGACGGGUAGCCGGCCUGAGAGGGUGACCGGCCACGUUGGGACUGGAAUGCGGCCCAGCCUACAACGGGAGGGAGGGGUGGGGAAGAGUGCACAGUGGGCGGAGGCCUGAUGUAACAACGCCGCGUCGGGGAUGACGGCCAUGGGUUUGUAAUCCGCUUUCGCCUGUGACGAGGCGUGAGUGACGGUAAUGGGUGAAGAAGCACCGGCUAACUACGUG
RNAcentral lists this ribosomal RNA (468 nucleotides) under uncultured bacterium. RNAcentral's name for it is "partial 16S ribosomal RNA". It matches the Rfam family "Bacterial small subunit ribosomal RNA", at positions 28 to 507 of the family's 1533-position model. The record is from RNAcentral.